CAGCCGCCGCGGUAAUACGUAGGGUGCGAGCGUUAAUCGGAUUUACUGGGCGUAAAGCGUGCGCAGGCGGCCCGUUAAGACAGGUGUGAAAUCCCUGGGCUCAACCUAGGAAUUGCGCUUGUGACUGGCGGGCUCGAGUACGGUAGAGGGGGGUGGAAUUCCUGGUGUAGCAGUGAAAUGCGUAGAGAUCAGGAGGAACACCGAUGGCGAAGGCAGCCCCCUGGGCCUGUACUGACGCUCAUGCACGAAAGCGUGGGGAGCAACCAGGAUUAGAUACCCUGGUAGUCCACGCCCGAAACUAUGGGUACUAGCCGUUUGGUGCGCGAUAGCGCUGAGUGGCGAAGCUAACGCGUGAAGUACCCCGCCUGGGGAGUACGGCCGCAAGGUUGAAACUUAAAGGAAUUGGCGGG
This 410-nucleotide ribosomal RNA is filed under the name uncultured microorganism. RNAcentral describes it as "bacterial SSU rRNA". It matches the Rfam family "Bacterial small subunit ribosomal RNA", at positions 509 to 917 of the family's 1533-position model. The record is from RNAcentral.